GAUUAACGCUGGCGGCGUGCAUAACACAUGCAAGUCGAACGAUGAAACUCAUUAGAUUUCUUCGGAAUGAAAAUGAAUGGAUUAGUGGCGAACGGGUGAGUAACGCGUGAGUAACCUGCCUUACACAAGGGGAUAGCCUCUGGAAACGGAGAAUAAUACCCUAUGAAACCAGACAAUCGCAUGAUAAUCUGGUCAAAAUGUUUAGUGGUGUAAGAUGGACUUGCGUCUGAUUAGCUAGUUGGUGAGAUAAAAGCUCACCAAGGCAACGAUCAGUAGCCGGCUUGAGAGAGUGUACGGCCACAUUGGGACUGGGACAAGGCCCAGACUCCUGCGGGAGGCAGCAGUGGGGAAUUUUGCACAAUGGGGGAAACCCGGAUGCAGCGACGCCGCGUGAUUUAGAAGGCCUUCGGGUUGUAAAAAUCUUUUGUAUAGGAAGAAAAUGACAGUACUAUACGAAUAAGGUCCGGCUAAUUACGUG
This 478-nucleotide ribosomal RNA is filed under the name uncultured bacterium. RNAcentral describes it as "partial 16S ribosomal RNA". It matches the Rfam family "Bacterial small subunit ribosomal RNA", at positions 28 to 507 of the family's 1533-position model. The record is from RNAcentral.